This 30-nucleotide non-coding RNA is filed under the name Mus musculus (house mouse). Lineage: Eukaryota; Metazoa; Chordata; Mammalia; Rodentia; Muridae. The record is from RNAcentral.
UUCAUUCUCUGCAGAGUUGGUAGUACCCGG